This 253-nucleotide ribosomal RNA is filed under the name uncultured bacterium. RNAcentral describes it as "partial 16S ribosomal RNA". It matches the Rfam family "Bacterial small subunit ribosomal RNA", at positions 524 to 776 of the family's 1533-position model. The record is from RNAcentral.
UACGUAGGGGCCGAGCGUUGUCCGGAGUUAUUGGGCGUAAAGCGCGCGCAGGCGGCCUCGCGCGCCCGACGUGAAAGCCCCCGGCUUAACCGGGGAGAGUCGUUGGGGACGGCGGGGCUUGAGGGCGGGAGAGGGUGGUGGAAUUCCCGGUGUAGUGGUGAAAUGCGUAGAGAUCGGGAGGAACACCCGUGGCGAAGGCGGCCACCUGGGCCGACCCUGACGCUGAGGCGCGAAGGCGUGGGGAGCGAACAGG